GUCUACAGCCAUACCACCCUGAAGGUGCUCUAUCUCAUCUGAUCUCAGAAGCUAAGCAGGGUCAGGUCUGGUUAAUACUUGGAUGUGAGAAAUGCAUAAUCUAUACCCU
Molecule: ribosomal RNA, 109 nt
Organism: Cavia porcellus (domestic guinea pig)
Lineage: Eukaryota; Metazoa; Chordata; Mammalia; Rodentia; Caviidae
Source: Ensembl